Carassius auratus (goldfish) is the source of this 481-nucleotide long non-coding RNA. RefSeq lists it as uncharacterized. The transcript is spliced from 3 exons. The record is from RefSeq and is a predicted model, not a curated record. Lineage: Eukaryota; Metazoa; Chordata; Actinopteri; Cypriniformes; Cyprinidae.
GAAAUGGGUCUAAUAUCCAGUUUAUUUUCAAAAUCAAAAUAUCGGCUUAUAAAUCGGCUCUUUUCGAGUUAAUAUCGGCAUCGGCAUCGGCCCCCAAAAAACCAUAUCGGUCGGGCUCUAAUGAAUACCCCUUGGCUGACUAUUUGAUUGGACAUGUGCAGAUGGUUACGUUAAAGAGAUUUGUCUGCUGCAAAGAAUGACAUUGAUGCAGCUUGUGAACUUGCCAUCAGAGGACUGUCUAUCUAUCUUAAUGAGGACUCUAAAGAUCUCAUUCAGGAGUAUGCGGACAUGGAAGAAGAUCUUUUACAGUGUGCGAUUGAGAAGACUACCAUGGGCAUCUUCCUGAUAAAGCACACUGCAGACAAUGAAGCCCAUGAUGUAGGCAUUGUGCUAGAGGGUGUAGCAGUGUUUCAGGACCUUGACAGUGUGGAUUUUGGCAACUUCAAUGUUUUUGGUCUAAUUUAUGCUCUUAACCUGCAGU